AAAGAUCAAUAUUCGGGAACAAAAACCCCAUUCGUUUGGUUUAAUUCAAUACUGGAUGAGUUGGCCCCUUCCAUGGGCUUGACUGCAAGGGCAGAAACUUCCGACGAUGAGAACCCUGUUCACACCGCACCUGGUAUGCAAGCGUUCAGCAGAUUUGAAGUCGUCUGGCUGCGGUGGCUGUGAAGAAGGAGCAGCGGUAGCAGCAGCGAGUGGGCGUCGGCGCAUCACCUCGCGUCUUCGGAACAGUUGCCCCUCAAGCAAUCCGCCAAGCAGCGCUAAGAAGAACCCAUUGUUCCCCGCCAGAGUGCGGUGCAGACUUUUUGUGCAGACACCCAUUUUGUGCUAUUUAUAGCAAUCUCCGCUGUCUCUCUCCGGGUCAGUGAAAUAGAUCCACGCCUCUUGUGUGUGGGCGAGGCAGUGGGUCAGUGAAGUUCCUUGAAAUUGGCGGGGUCGGGUUUCUUUCCUAUUUGCGCUGAGGCGUAGACUGUUGGAUUGUUGGACACUUGAGUUCGCGCGGCGCUCUUCCUGCGAGCGGGUAUGUUGGGUUGAGUUUUCGUGGGGAAUGAACAGAAUGGAGGUGGAGGGUGAUUUCUUUUGUGUUGUUCGACGAGGAUUGGAGGCCUUUUCGUUGUUUGAUUGUGGAUUUGCGGUGUGAAUAGCUGUGUGGAAUUUGGAUAUAGAAUAGGGUUGUACGAGGACAUUCCGAUAUGUAAAUGUUGGAAGGAUUAGUGGGGUGCGAUUGGAUUUGUAGUUAGAGAUCCGUCGUUAUUCCGGGUGGUGGAAAGUUUUCAUAGAUUUGAAGUGUUUUUCGAGGUGAGGGCGAAUUAUGCCUCGUUCUUUUUAGGAUUUCUUCUAUCAUGGACCCCGCUUAGGCGAGUGCAUUUACCAUGUUGAAUUUUCUUGACAGGCGAAUAUAAGGGUGUGAAAAGACGCUCAACGAUUAGAAGCAGAUCGUGAUACUUGGGUGCUCUUCCCAAUCUUCCCCACAUGGCGUCCCUUAAUGAGGUACAUGAUGAGAGCUUAAGAGAAUGUCUCUUGUUCACGUAUCUAGAGUCCAACAUAGUUGAGGAUUUAUGUUUCUUCAGUCUGGAGCGCAGGUGUUAGUCCGGGGUCAGUUUAGGAAAUAGGUUUACGAAAAUCGGGUGUUGGAAGUAGAGUGCUCAUUCGUAUGAUCUUGUUGCUUACAGAAAUCUAAAUUGGGUCUUCUAUUUUGCAGAUAGUUGGUUAUGAAAGGUGUUCAAUGGUAAUACCUACUCACUCUUACGAAUUACCACCAUAUCAGGUAAUCCAAGUGAAAAUGCAACUAUUUUGUGUGUGAAUCGGAGAAACCCAAGGGAUUGUCUAUUUGUUGCAUGACUCACUUCUCGGCGUUGCCCUAGAUGUUCUUCUCAGGGUGGUUUUCUUGUACUUCGCAGCUCGAAAUGAAAAUUAUAGCCAAGGUGCAAAAUGCGAGUCCGAAAAAACUGGAGAAAUUAGACUUCUACAUGAAAAGGACAAAAGGUAUUAGUUCCUGGAUUUUGCAGAAGAAAAAUAAAUGCAUCAGAGAGGUUUGCUAUGAAAUGAGCCAUUUUUCAAGUCGUUGCUGCUGCUUUUCGUUCGGACUUUUUAACGUAAGAAAAGUUGACAGACCUUGCGAGAAAUACUACCGCAUCGCUAUCUUUUUGAUGAUGGUUGCCAUUUUGUCGUGGCAGGAUAUGCUACGUGUGAAAUCGACCAACAGAACAACACCAUCAAGAUUUGUUCUUUCUCAAACCUUCAUACUAGAGACAUUUUAUUCUACAUAACCAAUCACCUUGACCCAAAUGCGCGUGAGACGUGAAGACCGAAGGCUACAAUGUUAAAACACGUUGGAAUUGGUACCAUACGAUUGUGAAAAUUCAGGAGCGUUUCACUGCUCUGAUUUAUAAUUCAUGUGAUAUAAACUUCGGCUAGUUUUGCAACGGAGUGUGGCUUUGCAAACGUAUACACACUUCGUAGUAGGUAGUUUACAUACAAGAGUUUUGGUACUUUUAACUUCUCCAAUUCAUAUGGCUAAAAUUUCGGUUUUCUUUUUUUUUCUUUUUUUCGACGACAAUUGGUCACAUUUUUUUCUUUCUAACCGGCACAUGUUGACUUGUCAGUUUUACAUCUCCUUUACCUGCAUUGUGAUUCGCUCAUCUCCAUGAUUAUAUCGUUAAUUAAUAUCCCCCUCAACAAGCAAAAGGAAAACUAAAUCUUAGGUAAUACAACUGCAUUGCGUUUUUCGAGUUCAAAAUCUUGCAAGUAACCUUUAUGUCAGGAAUUAGAAGUAUUCCAAUAAUGUCAGAAAUUUAUAUACAGCAACGGCUCCGUUCAACCCUGCAUUCGACAUACUAAUUCUUCGUCAUGAAAAUCGAAAUUUAUACGCUCUCUAACUAGACCACAUGUCUCUUUAGAAGACAAUAAUCCUUAAAAUGAUAAAAUCUAGACUGGAGGCACAACGCUGUUGGCAAACAACUUCAAAAUUGGUCCUUGAAGGAAAAGUUCGGUGACGAUGAGGGAAAAGAAUCCGAUCAUAGCUGCACGCCCAUUCCACCUCUCUGCCUUCGCUGUAAAAGGACCGAAGCUGCGAGCAUCGGUUGACUCUUUGGCGUUAAAAAUCGGCACCAAGGAUGCAUACGUGAAAAUUUGAACAGACGCAAGGAACCAGAUUAAACCAGUGCUUCCGGGGCUGAAAACUUGGUCAAUCACCGAAAGACCAGUGGCAUUCUCCCCAACCAAUGCCCACACGAACCCCAACAUCGCCUGCAGAAAUCAGCGGGACGUUGUUAGGUUAAGACACAGGCUUAGCCGAAAGAAUAACCAUUUCCACAAAUUUCAAACAUGUUUCAAAAUACAACAGUUAAAACUGAUCUUAAGGUAUGCAGCUGAGUGUAACUGAGCAAGAGGGCGUCAUACCAGUCGGCCAUUGAUCGUCUCAGGCGCAGCACCAUCAAAAGCAAAGACACUCCAGGGCGACAAGUCUCCGGUCUCGGGUCUCCGCUCGACCUCAGGACGGCCAUACACGGACCCAGGAGUGGGCUUAGCACCAAAGAUGGAUCGCUGCUCAGACUCAUUGGUCGCCUGAUUCUGCAGCACCUCUUCCUUGGUAAUUGUCUUCUUAGUCGCUCGAUCAAAGGAACCUGCCACUCCAGGAGUGGAGGUGGGAAUGGGAGCCUUAGGCCCUUCUUCAUCCACCUCACAACGCACUCGCCCCGCACGCCGGGUCAACAAACGAGGAGAGUUCACCAACCUCGCAGCUUGAGAAACGCCCGCAACUCGGCAAGGCAAAUUGAUCCCACCCAACAUGGCACCGGUGCCGGCACCCACUUGGGACACGACGGCUGCCAUCGUCAACAACCCAAGAAAACACUAGCAAAUUACGAUCUCUCACUUACAAUACUCACACACUAGCAA
Molecule: long non-coding RNA, 3414 nt
Filed under: Physcomitrium patens
Lineage: Eukaryota; Viridiplantae; Streptophyta; Bryopsida; Funariales; Funariaceae
Description: long non-coding RNA (PPAT_LNC006023)
Source: RNAcentral